Long non-coding RNA from Oxyura jamaicensis (ruddy duck), 266 nucleotides. RefSeq lists it as uncharacterized. The transcript has 2 exons. Lineage: Eukaryota; Metazoa; Chordata; Aves; Anseriformes; Anatidae. The record is from RefSeq and is a predicted model, not a curated record.
CCUGCAAUUGCAAGGUACAGAUUAUUAGAUAAACCUACAGAGGACUAUUCUCUGUCAGAGGACCAGGUGUCUAGCUGAAAUGUAGAUGUUUGAAUUGCCGAUGACUCAAGCUAGGGUAAGGAGUAAAUAAUGUAAUAGCAACCAGCUGUCUCACUGGCACCAGUCUCCCUGCCCCCUGAGGCUUUGAUACAGUCAGUAGGUGUCCCAUGCUGUGAAAGCCAGCAGAAGAGAGAUCAGAGGGAGGAGGGAAAAUCGGGGGUUAAAAA